RNAcentral lists this transfer RNA (74 nucleotides) under candidate division Zixibacteria bacterium SM23_81. RNAcentral's name for it is "tRNA-Val". It matches the Rfam family "tRNA". Rfam says of the family: Transfer RNA (tRNA) molecules are approximately 80 nucleotides in length. Their secondary structure includes four short double-helical elements and three loops (D, anti-codon, and T loops). Lineage: Bacteria; Pseudomonadati; Candidatus Zixiibacteriota. The record is from RNAcentral. RNAcentral also lists the same sequence under 2 other names.
GGGCGAUUAGCUCAGUUGGCUAGAGCGCCACGCUCACAUCGUGGAGGUCACAGGUUCGAGUCCUGUAUCGCCCA